RNAcentral lists this long non-coding RNA (353 nucleotides) under Setaria viridis. Its description in RNAcentral is "long non-coding RNA (SVIR_LNC004384)". Lineage: Eukaryota; Viridiplantae; Streptophyta; Magnoliopsida; Poales; Poaceae. The record is from RNAcentral.
GCACACCUUCUGCAUGCACUUCCUUUAUUCUGUUUAUCUCUUCUUCUAUAGGAUUUUAUCGACCAAAAUCCGGUAUCAACACAGCCCCUUAGCUCGGAGUAUGAACGAUCAUGCUUCGAACUUUGUAAGUCCAACGUCUCAAUAUUUUGACCGAUACAAUCUGUUUGAUCGCUCUUUCAUAACUGAUGUUUCCCUUCAAGCUUCUUCUCAAUUUUCAAGCCGAUGUGCUUUGGGCAAAAACGAAUCAUCACUACAAUCAUGCCCCUCCUUCUUCAGAUCCCUUAAUUGCUCAAAUAGCUUGGGUUUUUGAAGAAUUUUUAAAUCAAAACAUAACAUUGCUCCUCAAAUGAUUC